This 919-nucleotide ribosomal RNA is filed under the name uncultured Bacteroidota bacterium. Its description in RNAcentral is "bacterial SSU rRNA". It matches the Rfam family "Bacterial small subunit ribosomal RNA", at positions 1 to 917 of the family's 1533-position model. The record is from RNAcentral. Lineage: Bacteria; Pseudomonadati; Bacteroidota.
UCCAGACUUUGAUCAUGGCUCAGGAUGAACGCUAGCUACAGGCUUAACACAUGCAAGUCGAGGGGCAGCAUGGUCUUAGCUUGCUAAGGCCGAUGGCGACCGGCGCACGGGUGAGUAACACGUAUCCAACCUGCCGUCUACUCGUGGACAGCCUUCUGAAAGGAAGAUUAAUACAAGAUGGCAUCAUGAGUCCGCAUGUUCACAUGAUUAAAGGUAUUCCGGUAGACGAUGGGGAUGCGUUCCAUAGAUAGUAGGCGGGGUAACGGCCCACCUAGUCUUCGAUGGAUAGGGGUUCUGAGAGGAAGGUCCCCCACAUUGGAACUGAGACACGGUCCAAACUCCUACGGGAGGCAGCAGUGAGGAAUAUUGGUCAAUGGGCGAGAGCCUGAACCAGCCAAGUAGCGUGAAGGAUGACUGCCCUAUGGGUUGUAAACUUCUUUUAUAAAGGAACAAAGUCGGGUAUGGAUACCCGUUUGCAUGUACUUUAUGAAUAAGGAUCGGCUAACUCCGUGCCAGCAGCCGCGGUAAUACGGAGGAUCCGAGCGUUAUCCGGAUUUAUUGGGUUUAAAGGGAGCGUAGAUGGAUGUUUAAGUCAGUUGUGGAAGUUUGCGGCUCAACCGUAAAAUUGCAGUUGAUACUGGAUAUCUUGAGUGCAGUUGAGGCAGGCGGAAUUCGUGGUGUAGCGGUGAAAUGCUUAGAUAUCACGAAGAACUCCGAUUGCGAAGGCAGCCUGCUAAGCUGCAACUGACAUUGAGGCUCGAAAGUGUGGGUAUCAAACAGGAUUAGAUACCCUGGUAGUCCACACGGUAAACGAUGAAUACUCGCUGUUUGCGAUAUACGGCAAGCGGCCAAGCGAAAGCGUUAAGUAUUCCACCUGGGGAAUACGCCGGCAACGGUGCAACUCAAAUGAAUUGACGGA